AUCGCUUCUCUGCCUUUUGGCUAAGAUCAAGUGUAGAUUUUCUAGUAGCCACACUACAGCAAGUAAAAAAUUGUGUAGAAUUCUAAUUUUUUUCAAGACAGGGUCUCAUAUAUCCCAGGCUCGCCUUGAAAUAAGUGUCCAGGAAUGAGCUUAGCCUGCCGGUCCUCCUGAGAACAUCAUGUAGACAGC
Mus musculus (house mouse) is the source of this 189-nucleotide non-coding RNA. The record is from Rfam. NCBI's taxonomy places the organism in Eukaryota, Metazoa, Chordata, Mammalia, Rodentia, Muridae.